GAACUGAUUGCUGGGCUCGUGGAUCUCCAUUUAAGGCCAAAGGGCAGCAGGUGAGGAGGCCUUUAGAGUCUCCUUCUCACUUGGCCGAGCCCAGACCUGCGUCUUCGCUUUCAGCUCUGCUGUCCCAUGAGUUUUCUCAUCACCUCAGUGAGACGAAAGGGCUGAGCCUGCCAGAGUCAAGAGUGUUCCCAAGACUCCACGAAGAUGGCGUGAUGGGAGGCCUGGGACCCCAAAGGCCAUGUUCCUGUCCGGAAGUACAGGCAGCACAUCCACCCUGGACUCCAGAUUCACCCCGCGUCUCCGCCAUCUCCCUCUGUCAUGUCUUGAACCCAGGAAAACAAUGUGCAGUGAUCAUUUUCCACAAUAUAGGCCCGGUCAUGUCAGAAUCAGGGUCUCUAAUUUAGGCGUCCUGGAAUAGGAGCUGUUUUUUGGGCCUAAAGAGGGAACAGCUAAUGAGUGUAAAACAUUUUCAGGUGAAAUUAAUAUUCAAUGAUUAGAUUACUGGAAUAGGAGCUGUUUUUAGGCCUAAAGAGGGAACAACUAAUGACUGCAAAACAUUUUCAGGUGAAAUUAAUAUUCAAUGAUUAGAUUACUGGAAUAGGAGCUGUUUUAGGCCUAAAGAGGGAACAGCUAAUGACUGCGAAACAUUUUCAGGUGAAAUUAAUAUUCAAUGAUUCUAUUACUC
Long non-coding RNA from Sus scrofa (pig), 685 nucleotides. RefSeq lists it as uncharacterized. The record is from RefSeq and is a predicted model, not a curated record. Lineage: Eukaryota; Metazoa; Chordata; Mammalia; Artiodactyla; Suidae.